GGGGCUGAUUUGGCUUUGACAGCGUGUCGAGGUGGUAAGUAAGCAUGCAGAGCGAUGAUGGCUAUGCUCUUUAAUCUCAGACAUCACUAAAUUUUAACUGGCGAAAACAACUACGCUCUCGCUGCCUAGCCGAAGUAUAGUAGGUUGGCUUUAUCGCUGCCCAAGGUGGCAGUGACGAGACAUCACCCGAUUGCCGUUGUUCCGAGGCGUUUCGACAAGGUGGUGCUGGAAUAUCGGGAAUAGAGCGCGACAAGUCUCGGGUCAUGCUCGAAAUUUAGAGAAUAAGCCUCAAGUUGGUGGUCUUGAUCCUGCUUGUCGACGAAAACCAAGUCAAGACUAAGCAUGUAGAAAACUUAUUAGUUCCACGUUUGGACGAGGGUUCAAACCCCUCCAGCUCCACU
RNAcentral lists this transfer-messenger RNA (401 nucleotides) under human gut metagenome. It matches the Rfam family "transfer-messenger RNA". From Rfam's summary of the family: Bacterial tmRNA, also known as 10Sa RNA or SsrA, is named for its dual tRNA and mRNA-like properties. The record is from RNAcentral.